This 73-nucleotide transfer RNA is filed under the name Algisphaera agarilytica. It matches the Rfam family "tRNA". Rfam says of the family: Transfer RNA (tRNA) molecules are approximately 80 nucleotides in length. Their secondary structure includes four short double-helical elements and three loops (D, anti-codon, and T loops). Further hydrogen bonds mediate the characteristic L-shaped molecular structure. tRNAs have two regions of fundamental functional importance: the anti-codon, which is responsible for specific mRNA codon recognition, and the 3' end, to which the tRNAs corresponding amino acid is attached (by aminoacyl-tRNA synthetases). tRNAs cope with the degeneracy of the genetic code in two manners: having more than one tRNA (with a specific anti-codon) for a particular amino acid; and 'wobble' base-pairing, i.e. permitting non-standard base-pairing at the 3rd anti-codon position. The record is from Rfam by way of RNAcentral. RNAcentral also lists the same sequence under 2 other names. Lineage: Bacteria; Pseudomonadati; Planctomycetota; Phycisphaerae; Phycisphaerales; Phycisphaeraceae.
GCGGGUGUAGCUCAGUUGGUAGAGCGUCAGCUUCCCAAGCUGAAUGUCGCCGGUUCGAAUCCGGUCACCCGCU